UAGUCGCUGAAACAAUUAUGUACGGGGGAACCAAAUUGAAUUGUAAAAAUUCAGGGGUGAAUCCUUUUUAGGUAGGGCUAUUCAAUAUCCCGAAUCCGGCAGCUAACCUCGUAAGCGUCAUUGAAAGGG
RNAcentral lists this small RNA (129 nucleotides) under Bacillus andreraoultii. RNAcentral describes it as "ydaO/yuaA leader". It matches the Rfam family "c-di-AMP riboswitch aptamer (ydaO/yuaA leader)", at positions 11 to 130 of the family's 134-position model. From Rfam's summary of the family: This family represents a conserved RNA structure found upstream of the ydaO and yuaA genes in Bacillus subtilis and related genes in other bacteria. The ydaO/yuaA element is thought to act as a genetic "off" switch for the ydaO and yuaA genes in its native state. It is believed that the element may be triggered during osmotic shock leading to activation of ydaO, a predicted amino acid transporter gene, and members of the yuaA-yubG operon which code for KtrA and KtrB K+ transporters. Lineage: Bacteria; Bacillati; Bacillota; Bacilli; Caryophanales; Bacillaceae. The record is from RNAcentral.